Pongo pygmaeus (Bornean orangutan) is the source of this 5809-nucleotide long non-coding RNA. RefSeq lists it as uncharacterized. NCBI's taxonomy places the organism in Eukaryota, Metazoa, Chordata, Mammalia, Primates, Hominidae. The record is from RefSeq and is a predicted model, not a curated record. The transcript is spliced from 5 exons.
GGUCACAGGGUUCUAUUCUUGAGGAGAAGGCUAGGAUAGCCCUCAGUGUAAAAAAGCUCUAUCGAAAACAGAGUAACCAAACGAUGAAAGCUGAAGGAGAACACUCCCGGCAGGCAGAAACAGAAAGAAGGUGAAGAGAAGAAAUAAAAGAGAAGAGAAUGAGUAGCCACUGCACCUUGCCCUGGGCCAUCAAUGAGAAGAUCUGCUCUUAGUAGAGCCCUGCUUUCCCGCUGAAGGCCCUGAAUUCACCUGUGUUCCAGGACACACACUAAGGAUCAGUAAAGCUCCUGCGAUGUGGGGAAUUAGCUCAAGUGGUAGAGUGCUUGCUUAGCAUGCAAGAGGUAGUGGGAUCGAUGCCCACAUUCUCCAAGCUUUAUUAUUUGGACCUUGGGUCUCCAAACACUCAAGUAUCCAAACUCAAGUUAGUGACUGAGAGCAGGAUGCUGCUUUAGUUCAAGACAUAGAAGCAGCAACAAUACAGGGCUGGUGAUGGCUCCCUCCUGGCAUUCAGUAUAGUGUAGAUCUACUGUGUAAUUCAUUCGCUGUUUCUUCAAAGAGCUGUGAAACCAAGGGACAUAUACAACUGCUCUUUUCUCCCUGUUUUUGCCUGCAGCUUGGUCCUAAACGUCAGACAGUUGUGAAAAGUGCAGGGCAGAGCCACCUGGGUAAAUACAGCCUCGGCUUUCCGCUCAGGGGACUGAAACCAGGAUGUGUCAAGUAACUAGAACGUGCCUGGACAGAUACUGUAGAAAGCAAACCCAUAAAGUUGUUCAUGAGCUUGUGGACACACCCGCCAGCUGUGAACAAGUGGCUCUAAUCCCAAACAACUUACCUACAAAGAGCCUGAGAGCUGAACUGCACAAUGGCCCACUUUCCAGUCCUCACUGAAGUUGCACACACUCCGGAAAUCUCUGAACAGUAGUGUCGAGGCUUUGCAAAUAGAGUUAUCUUUGAAACAGUAACACAUGGAAGGCUGGUUGGUACUUGGAACUUGAAUGCAAGGCAAUUUUGUGCCUGCAAAAAUAAAAAUAGCAAUAUUAUUCUUAAGAUUUCAACAAAACACAGUGUCUCAUCACAUAAUCCAAAGAAGUCCAGGUUACAAGCCCCAAAGUAUUCAGCAUUAUGAAAAAAACAGGGAAUCUUAAUUCACAUGGCAAAGAGACUCCUCGAAUAACAAUACUGAGAGGACACAGAUGUCAAAAUCAUCUGGCGCAUACAGAAGCACAGUUACGAUAACAAUGCUCCUAGAAUUAGGGAUAACAUUUGUGAAGAGAAUGGAGAGUUGGAAAGUCUCAGCAAAUAUCUGGAAUAUAUAAACAUCAAUUUUAAGCUUAAGAAUUAAAAAAAAAUGUAUUAACCAAAACUCUUAGGGGAAAUAAAAAGCUUAACUGCAUGAUCUCAGUAACAGAAUUCAGAUGACUAAGAAAAAGUCAACGAACUUGAAAACAGAACAAGAAUACCUACAUAAUCUGAACUAUAGAGAGAAAGGAGUAGUUCUGUAAAUGAACAGAGGCUCAGGGACAAAUAAAAAAUAGCAAAUCUAACAUUCACAUUAUUGUAAUCUGAAAAGAAGAGGACAAAGAGGUCUUUGUGGGAUAAAACUUUGAAGAAUUAAUGGCUGAAAACGUAUCAAAUUUGUCAAAAGAUAUAAACCAGGGUUUUAAAGUUCAGCAAAGGUCAAGCAGGAUAAACCCAAAGAAACCCAUUUCAAGACAUAUCAUAAUCAAACUGCUGAAAACGAGGAAAGUACAAAACAAUCUUGAAAGCAGUCAAAGGAAAAUGAAAAAGAAACUACCAUAUGAAUGAGUGUAGAUUUCUCAUCAGGAACCAUAGCGGCCAGAAAAAAAUGUCAUAAUAUUCAAUAAGUAACAAAAGAAAAAGACCUAUCAACCCAGAAUGCUAUGUGGAGCAAAAGUAUCUUUCAGACAUAAAGGGAAAUAAAUGCAUUCUCAUUGGAAGGUCUAGGGUGUCUAUACUUCCUCUGAAUUACCUGAUCCUACUACAGUGUCCGGCACAGAGCAUCUCCCCAGUGAAUAUGUACUAAAUGAGUGGAAAGUAAUUGAUAGAUUCAAAAGAGUUUUGCAAGAAUAAUGUUCAUUAUUUGGCAAAUCAUUGAAUGUGGUGUUUGAUGGAAGACAAUGAAUCAAAGUUGACUUGAAAGAGAAUAAGUACCCACUGAACUCUUGCCCUGGGCCAUCAAUGAGAAGAUCUGUUCUUGGUGGAGCCCUGCUUUCGCGGUGAAGGCCUUGAAGUCGCGUGUGUUCUAGACUGCCCACUAAGGAUGAAAAAAGAUGCUGUGAGAUGAAGAAGUAGCUCAAGUGGUCGAGUGCUCGCUUAGCAUGUGAGAGGUAGUGGGAUUGAUGCCCACAUUCUCCAGGUUUCACUAGUCGGACCUCAGGUCUUCAGGUUACAGUGGAAAAAAAUAUGUAUUAGACACUGAUCUCAGAAAACAAUAUGUUAGACACUGAUCUCAGUAGCAGCCAGGACACUUCUUUGGCUCAUUAUGUAAGGGCAGCAACAAUACGGGCUUGACUAAGAUUCUACUGGUGUGUGGUAUAGUAUAGAUCUAUCGAUGUGUAAUUAGUUUUCUGUUUCUUUGAGGAGCUGUGAUACAAAGGGACAUAUCCAGUUGCGCUUAUUCGCCCUGUUUCCUCCUGCAGCUUGGUCCUAAAUGCAGCAUAAUUAUGGAAAGUGCAGGGCGGAGCCACUCAGGUAAAUACAGCCCCAGCUUUCUGAUCAGGAGACCAAAACUAGGAGUUGCCAAGUAACCAGGAAAGACACUGUAGAGAGCAAACCUGUCAAGUUGUAUGUGAACUCCUGGAUGCGCCUGUGAGCUGUGAAUAAGUGGCUCUGAUCAAAGACAACUUAUCUAAAAAGAGUCUGAGAAUCGAACUAAGUGAGAGCCUACUUUCCAGUCCUCACUGGCCACUGGGUUGCACACACUCCAGAGUCUCUGAAUAGCAGUGUUAAGGCUCUGAAAAUAGACUUGACUUUGAAACUACAACACACAAGGCUGGCUGGUUAUUGGAACUUGAACACAAGGCAAUCAUGUGCCUGCAAAAACAAAAAUAGCAAUAUUAUCCUUAAGAUUUCAACAAGACACAGUGUCUCAUCACAUAAUGCAAAGUACAACCCCAAAAUAUUCAGCAUAUGAAGAACCAGGACAAUCUUAAUUCACUUGGCAAAGAGAAUCCUGGAAUAACAAUACUGAGAAGACACAGAUGUUACAAUCAUCUGACACAUACUUUUAAACAGUUAUUAUAACAAUGCUCCAUGAAUGAAGGGAUAACACUCUUGAAGUGAAUGGAAAGUUGGGAAGUCUUAGCAAGUAUCUGGAAGCUCUAAACACUGAUUUUAAACUUAAAAAUUAAAAAAUGUAUUCAUCGAAACUAUUAGGAGAAAAAAGCUUCAAUGGGUUAUUUCAAUAACAAAAUUGAGACACUCAGAAUAAAGUCAAUGAACUCGAAAACAGAACAAAAAUACCAACCUAACCUGAACAAUAGAGAAAAAGGAGUGUUUUUGCAAAUGAACAGAGCCUCCGCGACAAACAGAAAAAUAAGAAAAAUCUAACACAUCAUUGUGAUCCUGCAGGAAGAAGAGAAAGAGGUCCCCCAGAAAGAAAACUUUGAAGAAUUAAUGGCUGAAAACAUAUCAAAUUUAUCAAAAGACUUUAGAAGUUCAAUAAAUGUCAAGCAGGUUAAACCCAAAGAAAUCCAUACCCAGACACAUCAUAAUCAAACUGCUGAAAACUAAGGAAAACCAUAAAAAUCUUGAAGGCAGCCAGAUGAAAAUAAAAGGGAAACUGCCACUUGAAUGACUGUGGACUUCUCAUCAGAAACCAUAGGGGCCCAAGAGGAACAUUUACUAAAUACCAAAAGAAAAGACCUGUCAACCCAGAAUGCUAUGUGGAGCAAAAAUAUCUUUCAGACUAAAGGUAAAUAAAUACAUUCUCACAGGAAGGUAAACUGAGAGAAUUCAUUGCUAGUAGAACUGCUGGACAAGAAUUAGCAAAGAUUUAAGAUGAGAAAAAUGAUACCAGAAGGAAACACGACACCAUCAGUGCAGGAACGAAAGCAGAAAUAGAAAAUGUCUGGGUAGACAUUACAGACUAUUAUUCUUCUCUUGAGUUCCUUAAGGUAUGUUCAUGAUUGAAAGCAAAAGUUGUAACUUUAUCUGAUGCAGUUGUCAUUGUAUCUAGAUGUACUACAUACAUAACAUAAAAGGGUAAAGGUAAAGGGCCUAACUGCUGAUGAAGUUUCUAUAUUCAACUUGAAUGGUAAAAUAUUGAUUCUACGUAUACUGUGAAAGGUUAUAUAUGUAUAUGGUGAUCCCUAGACCACUUAGGAACCAGAUUUAAAUAAACCAAAAUAAACUAGGAAGAAGAACAUGGAAGAAUUAAGACAAGAGGAACAAAUGAUUAAUAAAUUAUUAAAAAGUAGAUCUAUCGGCUGGGCCCGGGGUCUCACGCCUGUAAUCCCAGCACUUUGGGAGGCCGAGGCGGGUGGAUCACCUGAGGUCAGGAGUUUGAGACCAGCCUGGCCAGCAUGGUGAAACCCUGUCUCUACCAAAAAUACAAAAAAUUAGCCAGGCUUGGAGCCGGGUGCCUGUAAUCCGGGCUACUUGGGAGGCUGAGACAGGAGAAUCACUUGAACCUGGGAGGCAGAGGUUGCAGUGAGGGGAGAUUGCACCAUUGCACUCCAGCCUGGGUGACAAGAGCAAGACUCCAUCUCAAAAAGAAAAACAAUAGAUCUAUCUAAAAACUUAUUUAUAAAAACAUUAAAUGUAAAUGAUCUAAAACAAUGAAUUGAAAACCGGAAAUUGUCAGAAUGUAUUAUAAAUGAAUAUGCUGACUAUAGGAAAGUCACUAGUAAUAUACUUAUAUGUGAGAUUAAAAGUUAUAUAGCAUAUUGAAAGUAAAGAAUGGGAAAAGAUAUGUCAUUUGGGCAUUACUCAAAGAAAGCUGUGGUGGAUAUAUUCAAAUCAGACAAACCAGAUUUUAAAUUGUAGAAAACUUCCAGGGAUAAAGGGGGCUGUUACAUAAUUAGAGGUGUCAACACACCAGAGAAAUAAUGUCCCAAAUGCAUAUAAGGACACAGGGCUUCAAAACUCAUAAGCAAAAUUGGAUAAUCCAGAUAAAAAUAGAAAAAUCCAAUUACAUUUGCAGACGUUAACACUCCCCUCUCAGUAACUGAUAGAUCCAGUAGACAAUAAAUCAGUAAACACAUUUGAGAACUGAACAACAUCCAUACAGCAACGGAUCUAAUCAAUCAACUUUCUAAAGCAAAAUCACAAUUUGGGUAGAAAGAAGAGAAAAAAAUUAAAAGAAAAACAAGAUCGUGUUAUCACUAGGAAAUCAGGAAUGUUCAGAGUGCAAAAGAGUGAUAUAUUGAAACUGACAUUUUUGAAAGGGUUAUUUAGCUGUAAAUGACAUGACACGGAGACUGAAAUUGUAAAACUGGACGUGGAUCUUCCCUUCUCCAUAUUUGUCCUGCCUUCUCCUGAGGUCUGGGCUGCUUGAAUCUUUAGAAUCUCCUGAACUUACUACAGUGUCUGGCACAGAGCAUCUUCCCUGUGAAUGUGUACUGAAUCAGUGGAAAGGAAUUGACAGAUUCAAAAGUGUUGUGCAGGAAUAAUGUUUACUAUUUGACAAAUCACUGGAUGUGGUGUUUGAAGGAGAAAAAUGUGUCAAAAGUUGACUUGGAAACAAAGCCCAAAAGGAGACCAGAGGAGGUGUAAGAGUGACUAAGAUCUCUGAAGGAGGGAGAAGUCAGAUCACUGGGCCACAAGAGGGAAAAAGUCAGCAAAACAG